RNAcentral lists this ribosomal RNA (758 nucleotides) under uncultured bacterium. RNAcentral's name for it is "bacterial SSU rRNA". It matches the Rfam family "Bacterial small subunit ribosomal RNA", at positions 28 to 776 of the family's 1533-position model. The record is from RNAcentral.
GAUGAACGCUAGCUACAGGCUUAACACAUGCAAGUCGAUGGGCAUCAGGAAGAAAGCUUGCUUUCUUUGCUGGCGACCGGCGCACGGGUGAGUAACACGUAUCCAACCUGCCCUUUACUCGGGGAUAGCCUUUCGAAAGAAAGAUUAAUACCCGAUAGCAUAAUGAUUCCGCAUGGUUUCAUUAUUAAAGGAUUCCGGUAAAGGAUGGGGAUGCGUUCCAUUAGGUUGUUGGUGAGGUAACGGCUCACCAAGCCUUCGAUGGAUAGGGGUUCUGAGAGGAAGGUCCCCCACAUUGGAACUGAGACACGGUCCAAACUCCUACGGGAGGCAGCAGUGAGGAAUAUUGGUCAAUGGGCGCUAGCCUGAACCAGCCAAGUAGCGUGAAGGAUGAAGGCUCUAUGGGUCGUAAACUUCUUUUAUAUAAGAAUAAAGUGCAGUAUGUAUACUGUUUUGUAUGUAUUAUAUGAAUAAGGAUCGGCUAACUCCGUGCCAGCAGCCGCGGUAAUACGGAGGAUCCGAGCGUUAUCCGGAUUUAUUGGGUUUAAAGGGAGCGUAGGUGGACUGGUAAGUCAGUUGUGAAAGUUUGCGGCUCAACCGUAAAAUUGCAGUUGAUACUGUCAGUCUUGAGUACAGUAGAGGUGGGCGGAAUUCGUGGUGUAGCGGUGAAAUGCUUAGAUAUCACGAAGAACUCCGAUUGCGAAGGCAGCUCACUGGACUGCAACUGACACUGAUGCUCGAAAGUGUGGGUAUCAAACAGG